Long non-coding RNA from Peromyscus californicus insignis, 5565 nucleotides. RefSeq lists it as uncharacterized. The transcript is spliced from 4 exons. NCBI's taxonomy places the organism in Eukaryota, Metazoa, Chordata, Mammalia, Rodentia, Cricetidae. The record is from RefSeq and is a predicted model, not a curated record.
CCUACCCCACAGAGAGGGAGAAACUAAGAGCUCCUGUGGACUGGGCCCAGCUCAGGUGACCUGGGGCUGCCAGCCUGAGGCAGUCCUUGACUGAACGCAAUGGAGGGAGACCGCUGGCCAGUCACUUGUUCAGGAUCCCUUUGCCUCAGCACAGGCCAUGUAAGCCCUGAUUCCCUUCCCCACCCCUGCUUUGGGUAAGGCUGAAGAACUGGAGCAGAAGAAAAAAGAACUUGCUUUUAGGCAUUUGAUCAUCCUGUUUGGAUCCCAAAUAGGAAAAAUAAUCAAUGGCUGAUUUAUUCCUAUGGACAAGAUGAUUUGAAGUGGCUUCCAUUCGUUGACAGAAUGAUCUGAGUGGAACUGUGUCCCGUUGAUAAACUGUGAUGAAAUGUUAUUCGUUGGAUGUAUAAAGUUAGAAGUCAAGAGAAAUCAUUGUGGCUUACAGGAUGCUUCUUCAGCUGUCAGUCAUUUCUUGGCAUUUGAUCAUAUCAUUCUCUCUGUUCUCAUCAUAUUGGAUUCUGUUGUCUGUUAUUAAUUGAAGCAUGACUUUCCUUUCAAAACUACAUCGAAGAGCACAGACUAUAGAAAUGGAAGAAGUUUUGCUCUUACUUUUUCUGGCUUCUCAGCUGUCUGGUUCUCCCCUGAGUAGCCUUACUUCCUUAUUGGUACACUUCAAAUAUCACAAACAAAUAUGCCCCACUUUCAAAGAUGCUCUAUAUAAAAGGUAACUUCCUACAAGCUGACCUUAUUCAAUAUCUCUUCCAAUGGCCUCACGGAGAUACAAACUUUACAUUAAAAAAACCUUGCUAUGAGUUAAGAGCCACUGAAAGGCACUGAGAAACGAAGACAUGAUGGUGCAUCCCAGAUGGCUACAUUUCACCAGCAUAAUAUUGAGAGAAAAAGGCCAGCACAAAGUACAUGUACAGUGUGAGUCCAUUCAUACAAAGUUUAAAAUAAAAUGAGACUAAUCAUUCAUGUUAGAAGUCAGAAGAAUCACAACCCUUAGGUUUGGUGGCUGAGAUGUCAGUAGUAGGAAAGGUUUUUUAAACAUAGAAAGUUUAUGCGUGGACUUGAGCAGUGUAGACUUCCUAGACACUCAGGCUCCAUCGUUCCGUCCUGCCUUGGGGUCCACCUGCUCAGAAGACACUAAUCUCAGAGCCUGCCUCUUUCCCCAUGUAUCCAUUUGACCUUGACCUUCACUUCUCACAUCCACACAGGAGUUUGUUGCAGGUGUUUGAUGAGUGAAUGAAUGCUUAACAGAUACACUCCACUUCUAAAAGAAUUCCUAAACAUAUUGUACACAUAUGGAAGCUUUUAUUACUACUACUAUACAAGGCCAUUUUCAUGCCAAGUGGAUAAUAUAUUCUGAGCAUAUUCCUCCCCCCCAACACUUACAUUGCGUGUAUGUUAUGUUGCAAUAAAAAUAUACUAGCUAUAAAUAUAAUUAAGGACUACUUUGAAAGGUUUUCUGUCAUUAACUGAGAAGAGGUGGAAUUGAGGGGAAGCAACCACAGGCCAUCUCUGGGUUCCUUUCAGGCAUUGUUGAGUGAAGGUAGAUGCAAAGAUUAUUAAACCAUCCUUUGUGCAUGAUGGGUAUUGUCUUGGAGCUGCUGGAUUUGAAGUACUCACAAAUCAUGGAACCACGAUCAAAUUCAAAAAAGAACAAAUGAGAUGGGGAAUAUAUUCAGGAGCUGUCAGUCUAGCAGUGACAGACAGGGAAGGUGGGAUUGGCAACAGAAAAGGGUGCUGUGAGAAGAGGUGGGCUACAGAAGGAACAAGACAAGGACUCUGGACUAUAUAUAUCCGCCUCCAUGGACAUGGGCAGUGUAAACGUCCUGGACACUCAGCCUCCAUUGCUUCGUCCUGCCUUCAAGUCCAUCCUGCAUAAAAGGAGGUGCUAAUCUCAGAGCCUGCCUCUUUUCCCACUUAUCCAUUUGAAUUUGACCUUCACUUUUCACAUUCACACUGGACUUUCUUGCACGUGUUUGAUGAGUGAAUGGAUACUUAACAGGUGAAGAGCAAGAAAGGAUAUUAAAUUAAGCCCAAAGCAAUGUCUUGAACUGCCCGGCGGUCCGCAUCCCCAGAAGAGAACCUGCUCUCAACAGGGAGACAAUAAUGGAUGGGCACAAGCAGACUGAUAUGGCUCAGAGAAAACUUUCUGGAAUCAGAGGCAGGAGGGAUUGACCAUUGGCAUGAUAGCAUCAUGGGGCAGAAAGGCUGUUCUCAUGCAUCCUCAAGGUUGAGGAUGCUAAAACAAAAAGAAGAUGAAGUUGUGUUCUAAGGUCACCACCCCCACGCAGCUGUAGAAGUGGAGCUUGAUCACAGGUGGUCAGUCUAUUUAGAGGUACACACUCUACGCAUCCUUCUGGGGAGGCCAUUUCAGCUGUAAUCCUGUCUCUCUUUGAAAAAGACCAUCAGCUUUCUCUCACCUUGGUACCCCACACUAGGAGGACAGCUUGCAGAGGGAACCGCACAGGAUAAUGGCAAGAAGAACCUCACAGAGUUUUCCAUUCCCUGGACUCAGGAACUAGAGGAACAAGCAAAGCAGACUCUUGCAACCAGACUGUCUAUGGAGAUCAACUACAGACAUGGAGAUGAAGGCAACUCAAAAGACCUGAGCCAAGCAUCUACAGAAGCACAGAAAGGCUGGGAAUGGGAGGCCUCUCAGUAGCUUCUGCUUUCUCCAAGCAUCAAACUCAUCUGCAGAUUUUGCUGAAUGAAAAGCAUACCAUGCUUAGUGCUUGCAAACAGGACACAAUUUAUCCAAAGAAUUUAAAACAGUGGCGGGGAAGCCUUUUGUAUAGAAAACAUGGCUCUUAUGAACUCUAAUACUCAGUGACUAAGGAGAGACAAAAUGAGGUGCCUAGCUCAGGGUAGGAGCAGUAAGUAAAAUACAAAUUCAGCCCCGUCUGAAGUCCCAGGCCACCGUCCAUCAGUCCUUUCUCUGCACUGUUGCCUACCUGCAAGACUGAGAUGAUCCCAAAUGAAGUUUACAAUGAAUUUCUCCUCCUGAAGGCAAACCCUUAUAGCAAGGAGCAGAAGUUGGAAGCACAUUUGUGAUUCAUGAGUUAGCACAAUGUGCAAGGCAGCCCUAAGUAUUCCCACUACACUCAACACUUCUGCUACCGGGGAACUCCCAGGUUGAUUGCACAAGGUUGAGGCCACUGGUUUAAGAAGCAUCAUAAAAGUGUGCCCAGUGCAAAAUCAGAGAAUAGGGCUAUCCCCAGCAACCCAUAGAGAUGUCUCUGGAGUCAGGGCUCUAAGAACUCCUGUAUCAGAGAGCUGAUGAGUGGCACUUCCUGAAUGACUGAACGUCUCAGCUCCUUUAAUCCUCAUUACACCAUAUAAAACAGCUCUCUCUGUCAGCCCCAUCUCUCAGAUGAAGACACUAAGGCUCAGAGCAGUCUAAGAUUCUGCCAUUAAUUUGUAGGAGUUGGAAGAGGGGAAACUUGAUGGAAUCUAUUUUCCUCUGCUGCCUCUAAGCUACCCAGGGUAUUAUUAAAGCAGACAUUCUAAGGAAGGGUUGGGGGAUAGGCAUUGUGCUAAGCUCCUUGGGUGAUUCUCAUAUACACAGAGUAGGGGCUUUGUAAUAUAGUAUACAUUGGAGAAGCAAGAGAUUUCUUUAACAAGAAUACUGCUCCCUCACUCAUCUCAUUAAGUAGACUCUGCAUUUCUUGGAGGAGCAGAAGUUUCCUACUUGAUACCCUCCCCCACCCACUAUCCCCAGGAUUAUUCCCAGCAUGAAAAGCAGCCACUAUGAGCCCAGUAGGAAGGCUAUGGAUCCAAAGUAUGGAAGCCAUUGUGCCUGGUUAUCAUCAUAGUAGCUCAGGUGGGUCUCUGCAGCAGAUUUGGUCACCCUUGGCAUUCUUAUCUGUUUGAUGGAGAUAAUGUCAAAGGAGGAAUUUUUAAAUAAUAAUGUCAUUUAAAUAAAUUAUAUUUCCUGAGGUUAUUCUGUGAUGAGCAUUCUGCUGUGCCUGGACCUCUGGCACACACUGACUUGGUUCCUCAAGGCAUCUUCUAGGUAGAUACUUUCACUGUCUUGUCACAGAUAAACAGCUUUUCAGCAAGACAGGCUGCUUGGGUGAGCAAUGAUAAGGAAAAGUCUUAUAGCCUAGGCACCUCAGAUUCCAUGUCACUUCUUCUUUCCCACACACCUGGCCAAUGUGAUCAUCUUUUUCUCUAUCCUAUGGAUAUAAUGAGUCAAAUGAAAUCACAGAUCUACCAGUAGGUACAGGCUGGGCUAGGUUGUGAUUAAAACACAGCUCUAAAGAUCAGUGCCUAAAAACAGUAAUCCUUUAUUCCUUACUCUCUCCACAUUUCCCUUAGGAGUCAGCUGCAUGGUUCUGUAUAGAAUGAUCACCUAGGGGCCUGAAAGGAGCAUCCACCACCCUGAAUGACUCAUGGGAAGCAGAGCCAAACCAUGCAGGCCCAGCGCUAGCUUCUGCUUGGUUACAAGCAAUGUAUGUCACAUCAACUAAUAUUCCAGGGACCAAGGCAAGUCUGGGCCAAGCUUCCAGUCCACGAGUGGGAAAGCAUUCCAGAGCAGAGAGAAAACACUAGUUGUGAACAAAUAACUAAUCUGCAUAGGAUACAUGGAUUCAAAGAAUGCUUUGGACAGUGCUCAACAGAAACAGCAUGAAGAAUGCUUCUCCCUGUGGAGGCAUGGUGGCAGCUCGUGCUCCAAGCUGAGCCUCCACAUGCUGCAAAUCCACCAGCAUCUCCUCUGCUAUCAGGAAUCUAAUUAUUACUCUGCUCUCUGCUCAAUUAUUAAAGACAAGGCAGUGAAGAGCCACGGAAGAGGGGAAGUCUGUUUUGCAGCAGUGACAAACUGUAUUUCAUAUGCAUAAAAGACCGUUGCUUUUACUCUUAUAAUUGCAAUUUCCUGCUCGUUUCCUUUUCAAAUUAGUGAAUGUAAUUGUUUGGUAAUAAAAUAUCAGCAUAAUAUAUUAGAGGCAGAGAACAGACGGGCUUAAGGGACAGUUGCCAAGAACAAGAGGGAGAGAAAAGAUUGAGUAGAAUCAGAGUGCACAGACCUUGCAAGUCUUUUUCAAAGUGUGGGUUAGAUUAGUUUCUAGAACUCUCCCUGCUGUCCCUUCUAGACUCUUCUGGAACCAAUGGGUGAUAUACACAAAUCAAUAUUCCCACACUAUUCUAAAAUUCACAUCUAUACAAGUCAAAGCUGAGAGGGAGGGAGAGAGAAAGGGGGAGAGAGAGAGAGAGAGAGAGAAAGAGAGAGAAGAGAGAGGAGAGAGAGAGAGAGAGGGAAUGAACUGACAGGAUGUCUGUAGGGCAGAAAAGCUUUGGGAUCACACUUAAAUUUGUUACCAGAUUCACACUAAGUGGUCAUAUCACCCUGGGAAGAUCACUGAACUUUGAGUCUCCAGUCAUUCACUACAAAGUAAGAGUAAAAAAAUUAUUCUUGAUAUAGUCAGUUUUCUUCCGGGAUGUGGUUCCUGGUAGGUUGCCUAUACUCUAGCAAAUGGCCCUAUACCCAGGCACAUACCAGCAGAAGCAACUGGACUCAAUGAGCUAAUAAAAAGAAAAUAUAAGGUUAGGAGAGGGUGUGGC